UCGGAUCGCAGGCUGCAACCCGCCUGCGUGAAGUUGGAAUCGCUAGUAAUCGCGGAUCAGCAUGCCGCGGUGAAUACGUUCCCGGGCCUUGUACACACCGCCCGUCACACCAUGAGAGUUUGUAACACCCAAAGCCGGUGGGGUAACCUUUUGGAGCCAGCCGUCUAAGGUGGGACAGAUGAUUGGGGUGAAGUCGUAACAAGGUACC
This 208-nucleotide ribosomal RNA is filed under the name uncultured bacterium. RNAcentral's name for it is "partial 16S ribosomal RNA". It matches the Rfam family "Bacterial small subunit ribosomal RNA", at positions 1293 to 1500 of the family's 1533-position model. The record is from RNAcentral.